This 665-nucleotide long non-coding RNA is filed under the name Hordeum vulgare. RNAcentral describes it as "long non-coding RNA (HVUL_LNC000305)". Lineage: Eukaryota; Viridiplantae; Streptophyta; Magnoliopsida; Poales; Poaceae. The record is from RNAcentral.
UUCUUUCUCUUUUCUGUCUUUAACUGUAUAUUACAUGUACAUUUAUAUUUAUUUUUUAUAUAUACUUGCCGUGUCCCCGAUGGGCUGUUUUUGGAAAAAGCCAUAUCCCGUGUCCCCGUAUGCGUGUCGCUGUGUCCGUGUCGCCGUGUCGGUGCUUUUUAGGUUAAUACCAUCUAUGUUUAUAUGCACUAUAUCUGUGUGAUACUUCCAUAAAAAGUAUAUGGUGUUACACCACCAAGAAAGUAUCUGAGGGAAGUUGUUUCCCUUUGUGCAACAUUCUUUAUGUUUGUGGUUAUGUUUUCUAUCCCACUUUUUCAGUAAAAUAUUUAUGUUAUCAAAUCCAUUUUUGACAUGCAACUAUAAUCUGUGCUGGCAGGUUUCAUAGUCUAUUCUUGCUUGGCUGUAGCUCUUGCACUUGUUUUAAUGUUCUGGGUUGUUCACCACACCGAGCAAAGGAAAAUGCUCGCAUAUGUUGCAAUAUGUUCACUAUUCGGGUCUCUUACGGUAGGUUUGCAAUACAUCAUACCAGGACAUGAGUUGUUCAAAUUGAUUUAUAAUGCCCUGAUGACACCAACAUAGUCUAUAUUUACCUUGAAAUUUUCUAGCUUUGGUGACACAAACAUUGGAUCCAUUUUGGGGUAUAUUCCACUAGAAUUAAACUCUGG